RNAcentral lists this transfer RNA (87 nucleotides) under Gammaproteobacteria bacterium. Its description in RNAcentral is "tRNA-Leu". It matches the Rfam family "tRNA". Rfam says of the family: Transfer RNA (tRNA) molecules are approximately 80 nucleotides in length. Their secondary structure includes four short double-helical elements and three loops (D, anti-codon, and T loops). The record is from RNAcentral. RNAcentral also lists the same sequence under 2 other names. Lineage: Bacteria; Pseudomonadati; Pseudomonadota; Gammaproteobacteria.
GCCGGAGUGGCGGAACUGGCAGACGCGCCAGACUCAAAAUCUGGUGAUGGUAACAUCGUGUGAGUUCGAUUCUCUCCUCCGGCACCA